CCCUUAGAUGUUCUGGGCUGCACGCGCGCUACACUGAUGCAUCCAACAAGUUUUUUCCUUGUUCGAGAGGACUAGGUAAUCUUAUGAGAAUGCAUCGUGAUGGGGAUAGAUUAUUGCAAUUAUUAAUCUUCAACGAGGAAUUCCUAGUAAGCGCGAGUCAUCAGCUCGUGCUGAUUACGUCCCUGCCCUUUGUACACACCGCCCGUCGCUGCAACUGAUUGGGCGACCUGGUGAACAUCUUGGACCGGCCCACUCAAUUUCGAGAGGACUGGAAAAGGCCGUAAAUCAGGUACAUCUAGAAAUUGCAAAAGUCGUAACA
Molecule: ribosomal RNA, 319 nt
Filed under: uncultured eukaryote
Lineage: Eukaryota
Description: partial 18S ribosomal RNA
Rfam family: Eukaryotic small subunit ribosomal RNA
Source: RNAcentral